AGUGAACGCUGGCGGUAGGCCUAACACAUGCAAGUCGAACGGCAGCACAGUAAGAGCUUGCUCUUACGGGUGGCGAGUGGCGGACGGGUGAGGAAUACAUCGGAAUCUACUUUUUCGUGGGGGAUAACGUAGGGAAACUUACGCUAAUACCGCAUACGACCUACGGGUGAAAGCAGGGGAUCUUCGGACCUUGCGCGAUUGAAUGAGCCGAUGUCGGAUUAGCUAGUUGGCGGGGUAAAGGCCCACCAAGGCGACGAUCCGUAGCUGGUCUGAGAGGAUGAUCAGCCACACUGGAACUGAGACACGGUCCAGACUCCUACGGGAGGCAGCAGUGGGGAAUAUUGGACACAGGGCGCAAGCCUGAUCCAGCCAUACCGCGUGGGUGAAGAAGGCCUUCGGGUUGUAAAGCCCUUUUGUUGGGAAAGAAAAGCAGCAGGUUAAUACCCCGCUGUUCUGACGGUACCCAAAGAAUAAGCACCGGCCAACUUCGUG
This 492-nucleotide ribosomal RNA is filed under the name uncultured bacterium. Its description in RNAcentral is "partial 16S ribosomal RNA". It matches the Rfam family "Bacterial small subunit ribosomal RNA", at positions 29 to 507 of the family's 1533-position model. The record is from RNAcentral.